AGCUAGAUGAAUUAAUAUUUAGUAAUUUCUGCCCAGUGAAUUUUUAACGGCCGCAGUACUUUGACUGUGCUAAGGUAGCAUAAUCAAUUGGCUUUUAAUUGAAGUCUAGAAUGAAAGAAAAAAUGGGAAUAAACUGUUUUUUAGAAAAUUAUAUGAAAUUAUUUAUAAGGUGAAAAUACCUUUUUAAAGACAAAAGACGAGAAGACCCUUAGAGUUUUUUUGUUGGGGUGACAAAUAAGCGAACCUUAUUUAAAGCAAGAAAAAACUACCUAAGGGAUAACAGCAUAAUUUUUUAUAAAGAUUAUGACCUCGAUGUUGGACUAGGAAUAUUAUAAUUAGAAGUUAAAAAUAUUAGUUCUGUUCGAACGUUUCCUCCU
This 377-nucleotide ribosomal RNA is filed under the name Discartemon afthonodontia. Its description in RNAcentral is "partial large subunit ribosomal RNA". It matches the Rfam family "Archaeal large subunit ribosomal RNA", at positions 1909 to 2665 of the family's 2987-position model. The record is from RNAcentral. Lineage: Eukaryota; Metazoa; Mollusca; Gastropoda; Stylommatophora; Streptaxidae.